CUGUCCGUGAGCUGGGUACCCCACGCCUACCAUGCAAACCGAAUGCGAAGCUCCAAGACAGCCAGAGUCUGCAAGAGCCCCGAUGCUUGCCAGCUGACUGGGCAAGAGUCAGCAACAUGGAAAACCCAUAAUGGCCCCCAAAAAAACCCAAGCCCGCUGCAGAGGCAACAGGUAGAAGUCAGUGGAAAGGACUUAGGGGGCCUGAUUGCACAAGCCACCAGGCGGAAUCGAUCCCACUAUCCAGGAGACUACCGCACGUAUCCUGACCAACGGAACUCUGAAACGCUGAAACACUACUCCAAGAAAAACACCACAGCAGCCAAGCACGACGUGCGACACAGUCGGCCCCACACAUAAGCCACAUUAAGAGCAACCCGUGCGGAGGCACAUAGCCACAUAACACCGACCGUCAGAAAUACGGCCCGGAAAACAAUAACCUGCCGGGCGCAUUGCCAGUAGCCAGAAAGCCG
Non-coding RNA from Pelobates cultripes (western spadefoot toad), 470 nucleotides. Lineage: Eukaryota; Metazoa; Chordata; Amphibia; Anura; Pelobatidae. The record is from the annotation of a GenBank genome assembly.